AGUGAACGCUGGCGGUAGGCCUAACACAUGCAAGUCGAACGGCAGCACAGUAAGAGCUUGCUCUUACGGGUGGCGAGUGGCGGACGGGUGAGGAAUACAUCGGAAUCUACUUUUUCGUGGGGGAUAACGUAGGGAAACUUACGCUAAUACCGCAUACUACCUACGGGUGAAAGCAGGGGAUCUUCGGACCUUGCGCGAUUGAAUGAGCCGAUGUCGGAUUAGCUAGUUGGCGGGGUAAAGGCCCACCAAGGCGACGAUCCGUAGCUGGUCUGAGAGGAUGAUCAGCCACACUGGAACUGAGACACGGUCCAGACUCCUACGGGAGGCAGCAGUGGGGAAUAUUGGACAAUGGGCGCAAGACUGAUCCAGCCAUACCGCGUGGGUGAAGAAGGCCUUCGGGUUGUAAAGCCCUUUUGUUGGGAAAGAAAAGCAGCAGGUUAAUACCACGCUGUUCUGACGGUACCCAAAGAAUAAGCACCGGCUAACUUCGUG
This 492-nucleotide ribosomal RNA is filed under the name uncultured bacterium. RNAcentral's name for it is "partial 16S ribosomal RNA". It matches the Rfam family "Bacterial small subunit ribosomal RNA", at positions 29 to 507 of the family's 1533-position model. The record is from RNAcentral.